This 598-nucleotide long non-coding RNA is filed under the name Equus caballus (horse). RNAcentral's name for it is "lncRNA (ENSECAG00000055251.1)". The record is from RNAcentral. Lineage: Eukaryota; Metazoa; Chordata; Mammalia; Perissodactyla; Equidae.
CACGCCAACAAGAAGUGAAGCAGACAGAGUUGGCACUGUAGUAACAGAGCAUGUAGUCAGCAGGGAUUUGAGGAGGGGAGGUUCAGUUGACUGAGCACUUCUCAUAAAAGAAGACGAAUCAAAUAGAGAGAACAAAAAAGCCGGGGAAAAAUUUCCAGCCCAGGAGUCAGGGAGUGAAUCUGCACUUGAAACAAGGAGCCGAGAGGAACUUCCAGCCAGAAGGUACCUUUCAAACAAAGAAGCUGAGACUAACCCAACCUCAGAGAGUAUACUCAGAAUCUUUAGACUCAAAAUCUGUCCUUACUGUGCUUCGGUGGACUGUCAUCUGGAGCAGUGGCUCAGGAGUUGGACUCACCAAUGGAUCCUCGGUCAAUGAGUCAGGAGUGAAGACAAAGGUUUCAAAGGCCUGCAGGGAGCAGUUACUCUUAAUGAAGGGGACCAGCAAUUCAAAGUCCCUCCAUUGUUUUAUAACAAGUGGUUCCUUGCAUGGAAAGGAAGCGCCUAGAAAGGGCAGAUGGGGUUGGAAAGUUCCUAACAGAACUGCAGACUUGCCCGGGUCGAGUGGAAGAACUCGUGAAACCUGCACGCCAACUUCAGG